CUGCAGCCAAUUAAGCCCACAAGGUUCCUUUAGUCAUGGGGGCCCCGUAUGCAGUGGUUGUAAAUAGCAGCCUCCUCAGUAGUGUAUGCAGCCUGUUGGCUUGUGUGGGCUCCCUAGGGACCUUGCAGACAGUU
This 134-nucleotide small nucleolar RNA is filed under the name Castor canadensis (American beaver). RNAcentral's name for it is "Small nucleolar RNA SNORA70 (ENSCCNG00000030931.1)". It matches the Rfam family "Small nucleolar RNA SNORA70". From Rfam's summary of the family: snoRNA U70 seems to be exclusive to mammals and is a member of the H/ACA class of snoRNA which contain H (ANANNA) and ACA box motifs. The record is from Rfam by way of RNAcentral. Lineage: Eukaryota; Metazoa; Chordata; Mammalia; Rodentia; Castoridae.